UGGGGAAUAUUGCACAAUGGGCGCAAGCCUGAUGCAGCCAUGCCGCGUGUAUGAAGAAGGCCUUCGGGUUGUAAAGUACUUUCAGCGGGGAGGAAGGGAGUAAAGUUAAUACCUUUGCUCAUUGACGUUACCCGCAGAAGAAGCACCGGCUAACUCCGUGCCAGCAGCCGCGGUAAUACGGAGGGUGCAAGCGUUAAUCGGAAUUACUGGGCGUAAAGCGCACGCAGGCGGUUUGUUAAGUCAGAUGUGAAAUCCCCGGGCUCAACCUGGGGACUGCAUCUGAUACUUGCAAGGUUGAGUCUCGUAGGGGGGGGUAGAAUUCCAGGUGUAGCGGUGAAAUUCGUAGAGGGCUGGAGGAAUACCGGUGGCGAAGGCGGCCCCCUGGACGAAGACUGACGCUCAGGUGCGAAAGCGUGGGGAGCAAACAGG
Molecule: ribosomal RNA, 429 nt
Filed under: Fusobacteriota bacterium
Lineage: Bacteria; Fusobacteriati; Fusobacteriota
Description: Fusobacteria bacterium partial 16S ribosomal RNA
Rfam family: Bacterial small subunit ribosomal RNA
Source: RNAcentral